RNAcentral lists this ribosomal RNA (433 nucleotides) under uncultured Lachnospiraceae bacterium. RNAcentral describes it as "bacterial SSU rRNA". It matches the Rfam family "Bacterial small subunit ribosomal RNA", at positions 341 to 792 of the family's 1533-position model. The record is from RNAcentral. Lineage: Bacteria; Bacillati; Bacillota; Clostridia; Lachnospirales; Lachnospiraceae.
ACGGGAGGCAGCAGUGGGGAAUAUUGCACAAUGGGGGAAACCCUGAUGCAGCGACGCCGCGUGGGUGAUGAAGUAUUUCGGUACGUAAAGCCCUAUCAGCAGGGAAGAUAAUGACGGUACCUGACUAAGAAGCUCCGGCUAAAUACGUGCCAGCAGCCGCGGCAAUACGUAUGGAGCAGGCGUUAUCCGGAUUUACUGGGUGUAAGGGAGCGCAGGCGGUUUUGUAAGUUGGGUGUGAAAGCCCGGGGCUCAACCCCGGGACUGCACCCAAAACUGCAGGACUAGAGUGUCGGAGGGGCAAGCGGAAUUCCUAGUGGAGCGGUGAAAUGCGUAGAUAUUAGGAGGAACACCGGUGGCGAAGGCGGCUUGCUGGACGACAACUGACGCUGAGGCUCGAAAGCGUGGGGAGCAAACAGGAUUAGAUACCCUGGUA